AUUCGACACAUUUCCAUCAAGACAGAGUCCAGAGAUAGUUCGUUUUAGGUAUGAUCGACUAAGGAGUGUGGCUGGGAGGAUCCAGACUGUUGUGGGUGAUGUGGCUACCCAAGGAGAGCGGGUUCAAGCGCUACUAAGCUGGAGGGAUCCUCGCGCCACAACUAUCUUCUUGAUUUUCUGUCUAGUGGUUGCCAUAGUGUUGUAUGCAACACCUUUUCAGGUGCUUGCUCUUCUUGGGGGGUUUUACUUUAUGAGGCAUCCUAGGUUUCGUCACAAGACUCCAUCAGCACC
RNAcentral lists this long non-coding RNA (291 nucleotides) under Populus trichocarpa (black cottonwood). Its description in RNAcentral is "long non-coding RNA (PTRI_LNC003280)". The record is from RNAcentral. Lineage: Eukaryota; Viridiplantae; Streptophyta; Magnoliopsida; Malpighiales; Salicaceae.